RNAcentral lists this ribosomal RNA (409 nucleotides) under Actinomycetes bacterium. Its description in RNAcentral is "Actinobacteria bacterium partial 16S ribosomal RNA". It matches the Rfam family "Bacterial small subunit ribosomal RNA", at positions 355 to 776 of the family's 1533-position model. The record is from RNAcentral. Lineage: Bacteria; Bacillati; Actinomycetota; Actinomycetes.
UGGGGAAUAUUGCACAAUGGGCGGAAGCCUGAUGCAGCGACGCCGCGUGGGGGAUGAAGGCCUUCGGGUUGUAAACUCCUUUCGACAGGGACGAAGCUUUUGUGACGGUACCUGUAUAAGAAGCACCGGCUAACUACGUGCCAGCAGCCGCGGUAAUACGUAGGGUGCGAGCGUUGUCCGGAAUUACUGGGCGUAAAGAGCUCGGAGGUGGUUUGUCGCGUCGUCUGUGAAAUUCCGGGGCUUAACUCCGGGCGUGCAGGCGAUACGGGCUGACUUGAGUGCUGUAGGGGAGACUGGAAUUCCUGGUGUAGCGGUGAAAUGCGCAGAUAUCAGGAGGAACACCGAUGGCGAAGGCAGGUCUCUGGGCAGUAACUGACGCUGAGGAGCGAAAGCAUGGGUAGCGAACAGG